RNAcentral lists this ribosomal RNA (324 nucleotides) under uncultured bacterium. Its description in RNAcentral is "bacterial SSU rRNA". It matches the Rfam family "Bacterial small subunit ribosomal RNA", at positions 28 to 357 of the family's 1533-position model. The record is from RNAcentral.
GAUGAACGCUAGCGGCAGGCUUAACACAUGCAAGUCGAGGGGUAUGCCGAUUUAUCGGCAGAGACCGGCGCACGGGUGCGUAACGCGUAUGCAAUCUACCUUUCACAGAGGGAUAGCCCAGAGAAAUUUGGAUUAAUACCUCAUAGUAUAGCAGUUUCGCAUGAAACCACUAUUAAAGUUCCAACGGUGAAAGAUGAGCAAUGCGUCCCAUUAGCUAGAUGGUAAGGUAACGGCUUACCAUGGCUACGAUGGGUAGGGGUCCUGAGAGGAGAUCCCCACACUGGUACUGAGACACGACCAGACUCCUACGGGAGGCAGCAGUGA